RNAcentral lists this ribosomal RNA (504 nucleotides) under Salmonella enterica. Its description in RNAcentral is "bacterial SSU rRNA". It matches the Rfam family "Bacterial small subunit ribosomal RNA", at positions 1018 to 1522 of the family's 1533-position model. The record is from RNAcentral. RNAcentral also lists the same sequence under 1 other name. Lineage: Bacteria; Pseudomonadati; Pseudomonadota; Gammaproteobacteria; Enterobacterales; Enterobacteriaceae.
CUUCGGGAACUGUGAGACAGGUGCUGCAUGGCUGUCGUCAGCUCGUGUUGUGAAAUGUUGGGUUAAGUCCCGCAACGAGCGCAACCCUUAUCCUUUGUUGCCAGCGGUUAGGCCGGGAACUCAAAGGAGACUGCCAGUGAUAAACUGGAGGAAGGUGGGGAUGACGUCAAGUCAUCAUGGCCCUUACGACCAGGGCUACACACGUGCUACAAUGGCGCAUACAAAGAGAAGCGACCUCGCGAGAGCAAGCGGACCUCAUAAAGUGCGUCGUAGUCCGGAUUGGAGUCUGCAACUCGACUCCAUGAAGUCGGAAUCGCUAGUAAUCGUGGAUCAGAAUGCCACGGUGAAUACGUUCCCGGGCCUUGUACACACCGCCCGUCACACCAUGGGAGUGGGUUGCAAAAGAAGUAGGUAGCUUAACCUUCGGGAGGGCGCUUACCACUUUGUGAUUCAUGACUGGGGUGAAGUCGUAACAAGGUAACCGUAGGGGAACCUGCGGUUGGA